Molecule: long non-coding RNA, 241 nt
Filed under: Phoenix dactylifera (date palm)
Lineage: Eukaryota; Viridiplantae; Streptophyta; Magnoliopsida; Arecales; Arecaceae
Description: long non-coding RNA (PDAC_LNC014311)
Source: RNAcentral
GUCUUGCAAUACAACUUCUUUAGCUUAGCCUUUGAGUAACCUCAAAAUUAUGGUCUAUAAUUACAUUACACUUUGUCAUGUGAAUUUGUGGCAUCUUAGAAGUUUUCUAACCCUAUUGAGGUUGCCUUCAUACAGCUCAUUUAGCAAUUAUGUUCGCUGCUUUAAAAGUUAUUGAUGACUAGUGUUAAGCAUGAGCAACACGGAAGAUUAAUGGUUUUUGUUCCCCAAAAAAGGAGGAUGG